UACGUAGGUGGCAAGCGUUGUCCGGAUUUAUUGGGGUUAAAGGGUGCGUAGGCGGCCCUGUAAGUCAGUUGUGAAAUACGGCAGCUUAACUGUCGAGGUGCAAUUGAUACUGCAGGGCUUGAGUACUGAUGAGGUAGGCGGAAUGGACGGUGUAGCGGUGAAAUGCUUAGAGAUCGUCCAGAACACCGAUAGCGAAGGCAGCUUACUAAGGAGUAACUGACGCUGAGGCACGAAAGUGUGGGGAUCAAACAGG
RNAcentral lists this ribosomal RNA (253 nucleotides) under uncultured bacterium. RNAcentral's name for it is "partial 16S ribosomal RNA". It matches the Rfam family "Bacterial small subunit ribosomal RNA", at positions 524 to 776 of the family's 1533-position model. The record is from RNAcentral.